CAGUAGCCGCGGGAAUACGGAGGGAGCUAGCGUUGUUCGGAAUCACUGGGCGUAAAGCGCACGUAGGCGGCUAUUCAAGUCAGGGGUGAAAGCCCGGGGCUCAACCCCGGAACUGCCUUUGAAACUAGAUAGCUUGAAUCUUGGAGAGGCGAGUGGAAUUCCGAGUGUAGAGGUGAAAUUCGUAGAUAUUCGGAAGAACACCAGUGGCGAAGGCGACUCGCUGGACAAGUAUUGACGCUGAGGUGCGAAAGCGUGGGGAGCAAACAGGAUUAGAUACCCCCGUAGUCCCUGUCUCUUAUAC
This 301-nucleotide ribosomal RNA is filed under the name uncultured bacterium. RNAcentral's name for it is "partial 16S ribosomal RNA". It matches the Rfam family "Bacterial small subunit ribosomal RNA", at positions 509 to 807 of the family's 1533-position model. The record is from RNAcentral.